Strongylocentrotus purpuratus (purple sea urchin) is the source of this 232-nucleotide RNA transcript. RefSeq lists it as uncharacterized. NCBI's taxonomy places the organism in Eukaryota, Metazoa, Echinodermata, Echinoidea, Camarodonta, Strongylocentrotidae. The transcript has 3 exons. The record is from RefSeq and is a predicted model, not a curated record.
AAUUUCAGGCCAACAAUCUGAGUUUGGAGAAAGUUAUGCAGGAUAGCAAAAUGGAUGAAACUCAGAAAGCUGCCUUCACUGUUAUUUUCAAGAGCAUGUGUCAACCUCUUGCGUUCUACGUUGACUCGCUGUACUGGGCCAUGAAGGGACUAGGUACCGACGAUGACAAACUCAUUCGCAUCGUCGUAGGCAGAUCAGAGAUCGACCUGGCUUCCAUCAAGACCAUGUUCAA